AACAUUCUCACCUUAAUGAUAACAGAACAUUCAACUUGAGCAAUAAACAAAUACGAAGUGAUGCUUCAGCCAGCUACUUACCAGCUUGCCAACAAGCAACCCUUGGCAAGAUUCACUUAAAUUCCUAAUUCAACAUCAAAAUGUUUUAUAUAGCAAAGGCAGUAAUUCUAAAUCUUACUCACCUCAGUAUCAUCAAAAGCUGCAU
This 205-nucleotide unclassified non-coding RNA is filed under the name Hevea brasiliensis (rubber tree). The record is from RNAcentral. Lineage: Eukaryota; Viridiplantae; Streptophyta; Magnoliopsida; Malpighiales; Euphorbiaceae.